GUGCCAGCAGCCGCGUUAAUACGGAGGGUGCAAACGUUGCUCGGAAUUAUUGGGCGUAGAGCGCACGUAGGCGGACCAUCAAGUCGGAUGUGAAAUCCCUCGGCUUAACCGAGGACGUGCAUUCGAAACUGAUGGCCUUGAGUACGAAAGAGGAUCGCGGAAUUCCCGGUGUAGAGGUGAAAUUCGUAGAUAUCGGGAGGAACACCAGUGGCGAAGGCGGCGAUCUGGGUCGAUACUGACGCUGAGGUGCCAAAGCGUGGGGAGCAAACAGGAUUAGAUACCCUGGUAGUCC
RNAcentral lists this ribosomal RNA (292 nucleotides) under uncultured bacterium. RNAcentral's name for it is "partial 16S ribosomal RNA". It matches the Rfam family "Bacterial small subunit ribosomal RNA", at positions 505 to 796 of the family's 1533-position model. The record is from RNAcentral.